AGUGAACGCUGGCGGUAGGCCUAACACAUGCAAGUCGAACGGCAGCACAGUAAGAGCUUGCUCUUACGGGUGGCGAGUGGCGGACGGGUGAGGAAUACAUCGGAAUCUACUUUUUCGUGGGGGAUAACGUAGGGAAACUUACGCUAAUACCGCAUACGACCUACGGGUGAAAGCAGGGGAUCUUCGGACCUUGCGCGAUUGAAUGAGCCGAUGUCGGAUUAGCUAGUUGGCGGGGUAAAGGCCCACCAAGGCGACGAUCCGUAGCUGGUCUGAGAGGAUGGUCAGCCACACUGGAACUGAGCCACGGUCCAGACUCCUACGGGAGGCAGCAGUGGGGAAUAUUGGGCAAUGGGCGCAAGCCUGAUCCAGCCAUACCGCGUCGGUGAAGAAGGCCUUCGGGUUGUAAAGCCCUUUUGUUGGGAAAGAAAAGCAGCAGGUUAAUACCCCGCUGUUCUGACGGUACCCAAAGAAUAAGCACCGGCUAACUUCGUG
RNAcentral lists this ribosomal RNA (492 nucleotides) under uncultured bacterium. RNAcentral's name for it is "partial 16S ribosomal RNA". It matches the Rfam family "Bacterial small subunit ribosomal RNA", at positions 29 to 507 of the family's 1533-position model. The record is from RNAcentral.